GUUAGACGAGAGUUUCUUUAUGAACUGGGCCAGUUAUACAACAUGCUGCUGAUGUAACGCCAUAAAACAUUAAAGCAACAGGCAGCGUGGUGCGGCGCCUUCUCUUCUUCUUCUUAUUCUUCUUCUUCUUCUUCUUUUGGCUCGCCUUAGACGGGUUUUUCCCCGUUUAUGAUUCUGCAGUUUACUUUCAGCAACUGUGAAUAUUCACACACAGUACACACACACACACACACACACACACACACACAUACUGCACACACACACACACAUACUGUACACACACAAACAAUACACAUACAUACAGUACACAUACACACACACACACAUACUGCACACACACACACACAUACUGUACACACACAAACAAUACACAUACAUACAGUACACACACACACACACACUGUACACAUACAUACAGUACACACACACACACACACACACACACACAUACUGCACACACACACACACACACACAUACAGUACACACACAAACAAUACACACACAUACAAUACACACACAUACAAUACCACACAAACAAUACACACACAUACAAUACACACACAAACAAUACACACACAAACAAUACACACACAUACAAUACACACACAACAAUACACACACAUACAAUACACACACAUACAAUACACACACAAAACAAUACACCACACAUACAAUACACACACAAACAAUACACACACAAACAAUACACACACAUACAAUACACACACAAACAAUACACACACAUACAAUACACACACAUACAAUACACACACACACACCUGACAGCUGCAGAGGGUUGUGUGUGCUGUUGGUCUUGCUACAGUGAGGUGAUGAUGAUUACUACAAGAGUUUUAGCUGUAAAUCUGCAGUAAAUAAACACUGAUAAUAAAUUCAUAACAAUUCACUCUUCUGACCCCUUCUGCGUUUACACCUUCAGUCACUAGUGAGUUUUUAUCCCGUUUAUGUUACAGUAGAUGAGUUUUUAUCCCGUUUAUGUUACAGUAGAUGAGUUUUUAUCCCGUUUAUGUUACAGUAGAUGAGUUUUUAUCCCGUUUAUGUUACAGUAGUUGUGCUUUUGGCCCGUUUAUGUUACAGUAGAUGAGUUUUAUCCCGUUUAUGUUACAGUAGAUGUGUUUUUGGCCCGUUUAUGUUACAGUAGAUGAGUUUUUUAUCCCGUUUAUGUUACAGUAGAUGUGUUUUUGGCCCGUUUAUGUUACAGUAGAUGAGUUUUUAUCCCGUUUAUGUUACAGUAGAUGUGUUUUCUCCCGUUUAUGUUACAGUAGAUGUGUUUUUGGCCCGUUUAUGUUACAGUAGAUGUGUUUUUGGCCCGUUUAUGUUACAGUAGAUGAGUUUUAUCCCGUUCAUGUUACAGUAGAUGAGUUUUUAUCCCGUUCAUGUUACAGUAGAUGAGUUUUUAUCCCGUUUAUGUUACAGUAUAUGAUUUUUUAUCCCGUUUAUGUUACAGUAGAUGAGUUUUUAUCCCGUUUAUGUUACAGUAGAUGAGUUUUUAUCCCGUUUAUGUUACAGUAGAUGAGUUUAUCCCGUUAUGUUACAGUAGAUGUGUUCUUGGCCCGUUUAUGUUACAGUAGAUGUGUUUUUAUCCCGUUUAUGUUACAGUAGAUGUGUUUUAUCCUGUUUAUGUUACAGUAGAUGUGUUCUUGGCCCGUUUAUGUUACAGUAGAUGUGUUUUAUCCUGUUUAUGUUACAGUAGAUGAGUUUUUUAUCCCGUUUAUGUUACAGUAGAUGUGUUUCUUGCCUUGCUCUUUUAUAGUAUAUGUGUCUUUGUCCUGUUUGUGUUUUUCAAUUGUUUGUGUUUAGGGCUGCAACUACCUAUUAUUUUCAUAGUUGAUUGGUUGGCCAAUUAUUUUUGCGAUUAUUCGGAUGGGGGCGGGGCAAACUUACAGUACACUGUUUUUUUGUUUUAUUUAUAAUGAAAUCCUCAAACUGAGUUUUACAAAUAUAAACACACACUAAAACUUUACACAACUCUUUGUCCAAAACAGAAAAGAACCCAACACACACACACACACACACACACACACACACAAACACACACCAGCA
Molecule: long non-coding RNA, 2062 nt
Organism: Ictalurus punctatus (channel catfish)
Lineage: Eukaryota; Metazoa; Chordata; Actinopteri; Siluriformes; Ictaluridae
Source: Ensembl